GACGAACGCUGGCGGCGUGCUUAACACAUGCAAGUCGAACGGAAAGGCCCUGCUUUUGUGGGGUGCUCGAGUGGCGAACGGGUGAGUAACACGUGAGUAACCUGCCCUUGACUUUGGGAUAACUUCAGGAAACUGGGGCUAAUACCGGAUAGGAGCUCCUGCUGCAUGGUGGGGGUUGGAAAGUUUCGGCGGUUGGGGAUGGUCUCGCGGCUUAUCGGCUUGUUGGUGGGGUAGUGGCUUACCAAGGCUGUGACGGGUAGCCGGCCUGGGAGGGGGGCCGGCGACAUUGGGACUGAGGGACGGCCCAGACUGCUACGGGAGGCAGCGGUGGGGAGUAUUGCGCAGUGGGCGGAAGCCUGAUGCAGCGGCGCCGCGGGCGGGAUGACGGGGUUCGGGUGGUAAACCGCUGUCGCCGGUGACGAAGCGGGAGUGACGGUAAUGGGUAAGGAAGCACCGGCUAACUACGUG
This 468-nucleotide ribosomal RNA is filed under the name uncultured bacterium. Its description in RNAcentral is "partial 16S ribosomal RNA". It matches the Rfam family "Bacterial small subunit ribosomal RNA", at positions 28 to 507 of the family's 1533-position model. The record is from RNAcentral.